Molecule: ribosomal RNA, 440 nt
Filed under: uncultured bacterium
Lineage: Bacteria
Description: partial 16S ribosomal RNA
Rfam family: Bacterial small subunit ribosomal RNA
Source: RNAcentral
CCUACGGGAGGCAGCAGUGGGGAAUAUUGCACAAUGGGGGAAACCCUGAUGCAGCGACGCCGCGUGAGCGAUGAAGUAUUUCGGUAUGUAAAGCUCUAUCAGCAGGGAAGAAAAUGACGGUACCUGACCAAGAAGCCCCGGCGAACUACGGGCUAGCAGACGCGGCAAUACGUAGGGUGCAAGAGUAACCCGGAUUUACGGGGUGUAAAGGGAGCGUGGACGGUCCUGCAGGCCAGAUGUGAAAGCCCGGGGCUCAACCUCGGGACUGCAUUUGGAACUGUAAGGCUAGAGUGUCGGAGAGGCAGGCGGAAUUCCUGGUGUAGCGGUGGAAUGCGUAGAUAUUAGGAGGAACACCAGUGGCGAAGGCGGCCUGCUGGACGAUGACUGACGUUGAGGCUCGAAAGCGUGGGGAGCAAACAGGAUUAGAUACCCUUGUAGUC